Molecule: ribosomal RNA, 947 nt
Filed under: uncultured archaeon
Lineage: Archaea
Description: bacterial SSU rRNA
Rfam family: Archaeal small subunit ribosomal RNA
Source: RNAcentral
UUCCGGUUGAUCCUGCCGGACCCUACUGCUAUCGGGGUGGGACUAAGCCAUGCAAGUUGCGCGCUUCUAAGCUAUGGUAGAGGAGCAGCGUAAGGCUCAGUAAAACAUGGUUAACUUGCCCUCGAGACGGGAAUACCCCCGGGAAACUGGGGAUAAAUCCCGAUAGGCGAGAUGGCUUGGAACGAUAUCUCGUCUAAAAAACGUUAAGACCAUGCUUCUUUUCGUUGCUCGAGGAUAGGACCAUGUCCGAUCAGGCUGUUGGCGAGGUAACGGCUCACCAAACCUAUAACCGGUACGGGCCGUGAGAGCGGGAGCCCGGAGAUGGAUCCUGAGACAAGGAUCCAGGUCCUACGGGGCGCAGCAGGCGCGAAAACUCCGCAAUGCGCGAAAGCGUGACGGGGUCACCCCGAGUGUAACCUGCUGAAGGUAACUUUUCCUCAGUCUAAUCAGCUGAAGGUAAUAAGGGGAGGGCAAGUCUGGUGUCAGCCGCCGCGGUAAUACCAGCUCCCCGAGUGGUAAGGACGAUUAUUGGGCCUAAAGCGUCCGUAGCUGGCUUGAUAAGUUUCCCGUUAAAUCCGACGAUCCAAUCGUCGGGCUGCGGGAAAUACUGUUAAGCUAGGAGGCGGGAGAGGCCGGCGGUACUUUUGGGGUAGGGGUGAAAUCCUAUAAUCCCAAGAGGACCACCAGUGGCGAAGGCGACCGGCCAGAACGCACUCGACGGUGAGGGACGAAAGCUGGGGGAGCAAACCGGAUUAGAUACCCGGGUAGUCCCAGCUGUAAACGAUGCGGGCUAAGUGUCGGGAUGGCCACAGAGCCAUCUCGGUGCUGCAGGGAAGCCGUUAAGCCCGCCGCCUGGGGAGUACGGCGCAAGGUUGAACUUAAAGGAAUUGGCGGGGGGAGCACUCAAGGGGUGAAGCUUGCGUUCAAUUGGACUCACGCCGGUAAUC